CCUUCUUGAAGAGGUUGAUCCAUAGCGUUGAUGUCUUCAUUUCUCUACAUCCAUGCAUCAUGAGGAAGCUGUCGUCCUUCCUUUGGGAACUCCAUCGUACUUACAGAGGAGUAAAGGAUGGGUAUACCGGAAGAAUGGAAUUCUGCAUGGUUGCUUAUCCGGUAGAAAAUCAUUAGGGAACGUGGCGAAAAGUAACUCUCGAAUUGAAAUUUACGAAAAUAUCGAGAGCAAGGUAAGGAGGUAACAUGGGAAGUUUCGAGCGGGCAUGCAAUCGCUUGAUGCCUGAAACAGGGCGUGAAAUGGGGUUCAAAGCAAUGGGAAUAAGUAUUGUGUCCGAUACCAGAAUAGAUCACUAGGAUGGUGGUCCGUGAAUUACAUACAAGGCCACGCACGAGGAAUAACUUUAGAAACAGGGGGUGUACAAGAGAGUCAGGUUUCAAUCCUGUGGAACUGCGGGUUAUGGGCCCACCAUGUGGUUUUUUUAUUAUUAUUAUAUUAAUAGGAGCAGUGACAUCUUUCACGGUCAUGAUAGCAAGGCCUGUCAGAGAGUACCAUGUCAGUUAUGUCGGCAACAACGUUGGUACCAAGGGCGAGGGACGAAGAGAACCACCUUCCUGCUCGUUGAACGAGGCGGACCAAUAGGCAAAGUUCUCGUCCAUUGGCGGUUACCGGAAGUCAUCAACAGUAGAAACAAGGUCUUACCGACAGAGUUGUACAUCGAGGUGUUUGCACAAGCAGUGGAUUAUUACUGCUCAUAUCAUAUAGAUCAUAGAAAAGGUUUAAUCAAACCAAUGGAAGGAAAAUAUGAUCAUCAGAUUAAACGGAACAAUGGAAAGGAAAAUAUGUUUAAACACAUUUUUCAAGGGUAUAUCCUUCCCAAGGACAAGCAGAGCAAGAUAUCCAUGACAGGAUAUAAAGUAGAAAACCAUUUAGGUAAGGGGGAAGGAAUCUCAUGAUAUUACCCAUACAACGGUGUUAGGAUAAUUGGGCAGGAAACAUUUAACAUUGGGCUUCAAAUGUUCUUGUUGAAAAUCAGAGUAUCACAGACAUGCUUCGAGAUAGCAUUGACAUGGUCUUCAAGUAAAGGCCGGUUUUUAGAUACUCAAUGGAUCCAUCAGGAAUAGUUUAUAACAUAGGUCUUACAAUUUCCUCCAAGAAGAAUGGUUAUCCUUGCAAAUAAACCAUAAUGAUAGGUCCUCUAGCCAGGGGGGGUGCUAGGCAUGACAUCCUGUUACCAGGUCAUCAAAGCGCCAACAACAUAACUCUUGGAAAGUUGUCCCAACCAUCAUAUCUGACCGAGAUUCAGAUACGAUUGGUGUAAUGAUACCUCAGACUCAGGAUGUCCGAGAAUAAAAGGUGCAACCCAAAUAGACGAAAUGACAUUUCAGGAUUCUCAGGAAAUGAACUAUGGGAGUGGGUUCCUGAAACAAUAGUUCAUCAUUAAACCAAGGAGAGGAGGAGGUGGCUGAUGGGCUCGGCGAUAAUCCAUCGAGAUUUUCGACAAGAUGGAUUUCCACAAUUAUGUGAACAAGGAGAUAACAUUUGUCAGAUCAAAUGGUAUAAUGAUGUAUGCUCGAGGAAACAUAUUCAAUUAAACAUUGGUUUAAAGGUGCACCCAAAUAUGGGUUGGGUUGCACGAUCAAUGUUAGAGUGGUGACUUGACGAACAAAAGAAUUAGAAUGAAACUCGACCAUUACUUCAAAGCAAUAGGGUUGCUAGAAGUUUUGAAUUCACACCUCAUAGUCCAAUUGUCGGUAUUCCGGUUAGAAACAACAUGGGUACCAAGAAAGAAUGGUGAGGGUGAGAAGUAUCACCAUACCAAGAAUUCUUAAGAGGUGGAGUAAUCCUCACGACCUUCUUGACAUAAAAGAUGGUAAUACUCCAUGGUAAAGAAGAACAAAUGCUAGGUAGCAAGGAACUCGAGGUAUAACACAGAACACAAACAAGUUUUUGUUGGAGGGAACGCAAUAAAGAGGUCGAUGACAACACAAAUCAUCGAGGGCAAGGAUGGUAUUUCUCAUCAUUAAUUCAAUUGAUAUCCUGGAAGAGCAUCAGAAUGUAGAUGGUGAUCAUGACACAUUUGUCGAGAGAUUCCACGAAGAUGUAAUCGAUCCGCGAUCACAUCAAGUCAAAAGAAUGAUGAAGCAAGAGGUUAUUGGAACCAUAGGUACGACACAAACUUGAAAUCAAGAUUGUUAUUCAAGGCGAACUGAUAUGACGAGGAAGAUCGACGUAAGCUUAGCUCAUUUUCAAAAGUUGUGCUCCAGGAUUAAGGACCAGGUAGCACAGUUAAAAUUUAGCAUGGUAAUGAUAUGGCCGAUCAGGCUAGGAAUGACAUGAUCGGGUACAAACUUGUAAGUAAAGAAUAUUAGUAAGAGUUGUUGAACCGUAAUGCGGACUUGGUUCAGUUAUCGGUGUCUUUGAGUGUUUAAUAACUCAGAGCCCAUGAAAAAUUGUAACCAGUGAGUAUGUAGUACUUGAUGAAGAACUCAUAGGAAGUUAUGCAGUUCCAAGAUAAUCUCGAGAUACCAUGGGGUAAUACUCGACGACAGAUCAAAGUAGAGGUUGUACCGGGGUAUUGAUCCACAGAAGACAAGUGCUUACACUUGCAUCGAAAAUGGUAUUUAAAGGAGAACAUGGUCGAAACCACGAUUGUAAAAGGCCAUACCCCAGAUAUAAGAUGAACUUAUAUCAAGGGAAUAAUUAAUUUUAAAAGAAGCUUCGAUGAGAAGAUGUACAUCGGGUCCAUGGGCAUGAACACAAAGUUCAAGGUCGACUCCCACUUCUCCAAUGCAUAACCUUUCAUCCACUUCUCACGUUCGAUGAAGUUGCAGUGUUGAAAAUUUAUCUGGUGAAGCACCAGAAGAGUAUGACUCGUGAAAACUUUCGGGUUCACACGGUUUAGAGAAGGCAUAUGUUCAACCCAUAGGGGCUUCUUAGAAACAUAUACCACAAGUUUCAAGAGUAAAUAACACAAGCCCGAAAGCAGAGCAUGGUUGGCCAAGCAGAGGAUACAACUUAACAAAGGCAUUAUGUAUCAGGGAAAGAACUCACAAAGUGAUCAAAUGUGUAGGACACUGUCGGAUAACAAUCCAACAAAGGACUUGAUGGUCCACAAAGGAUCUGAUACGAGUAUCGGUACUCAACUAGAGGAAGAAGAAUGCAAGGAGAUCAGAUUAUAGAAACAACUGACUAACUCAAUUGUCAAAUGCAAAGGAAUUAUGAUUUCCAAAUCAAGGGAUCAGAAGCAAUGCUCUGAUUAGGGAUGGAUAAGUUGAAUAGCCUUAGGGUACGAUCAACGACAAUUGGAUUGGUCGAGAACCAAUUCCAGUUAAAAGAAUGGAAGCUCAGCCGGAAAGGUAAUUUAUAAGGAUCAAUGAUGAUUGCGUGUAUUCGCAACAUAUUGAGUCAACAGACUCAAAAUGAUAAUGACAAGGAAUGUCAAUAAGAUUUCUAUACUUAUGGGAUUAAUCAUAAUGAAAGCAAACAAGAAAUUCCAGAGCAAUAGGUUGCUGAGGAUUUUCGGAAUAUUGGGUGGUAUUUCAAAGACUUUUGUGUAACACAUGAACAACUGGGGGAUGAGUGGAUACUCGAUAAGUGCGAGAAUUAACCGUAGGGGUAUUCAAGUGACAAAGAACAGCAAGGCAGUAAGCUCAAGGGAUUAUCGAAACAACGACGAGUUUUUCAGGGUAUCUUGUAAUAACAAGACCACUGGGGAUGAAUGUAAUAAUAACAAAUGCAAGUAGUUAUCCAUAAGGGUUUGCGGUGGAAGGUGAAUUGCAAACGCGAUGUACACAAGUUCUUGGGUUAACAGCGGAGCGUAUCUUCAGGGUCUUCUGGUGCAGCAGACGAUCAUUAGUAAUAAGGGGCUCUCCGGGUGAAAGUGAUAACGAGAUCCUAAUGUUAGAUUUAGUAAACUUCAUUUAACCUGAAUAGAGAAGAGAUCAGAGUCCCAGAGUAAAGGUCGAGGAGUAAAAGAUCCUACUACCACCCGAUGGCGACGUGGGCCCGUAAGGCACACAGCCAAGUUAGUAAAAGUUUUUGUAAUGUCUAGACUCGACUUCGGCCAAGGAGUGUGGAAGGGGGAUUCCUACAGGCAGUUGGCUCUGAUACCAACUUGUGACGCCCCCGAUUCAAUCGUACACUAAUCAUGCACGCAAAUGUGUACGAUCAAGAUCAGGGACUCACGGGAAGAUAUCACAACACAACUCUAAAACAUAAAUAAGUCAUACAAGCAUCAUAAUACAAGCCAGGGGCUUCGAGGGCUCAAAUACAAGUGCUCGAUCAUAGACAAGUCAGCGGAAGCAACAAUAUCUGAGUACAGACAUAAGUUAAACAAGUUGCCAUAAGAUGGCUAGCACAAACUGGGAUACAGAUCGAAAGAGGCGCAGGCCUCCUGCCUGGGAUCCUCCUAACUACUCUUGGUCGUCGUCAGCGGCCUGCACGUAGUAGUAGGCACCUCCAGUGUAGUAGGAAUCAUCGUCGAAGGUGGCGUCUGGCUCCAGGGCUCCAGCAUCUGGUUGCGACAACCAGGUAAAAGGAAAAGGGGGAAAAGAGGGAGAAAAGCAACCGUGAGUACUCAUCCAAAGUACUCGCAAGCAAGGAACUACACUACAAAUGCAUGGGUAUAUGUGUAAGGAGGCCAUCUCGAUGGACUGAACUGCAGAAUGCCAGAAUAAGAGGGGGAUAGCUAGUCCUAUCGAAGACUACGCUUCUGGCAGCCUCCGUCUUGCAGCAUGUAGACGAGAGUAGAUUGAAGUCCUCCAAGUAGCAUCUCCAAGUAGCAACUCCAAGUAGCAACUCCAAGUAGCAUCUCCAGGUAGCAUCUCCAGUAGCAUCGCAUAGCAUAAUCCUACCCGGCGAUCCUCCCCUCGUCGCCCUGUGGAAAAGCGAUCACCGGGUUGUCUGUGGAACUUGGAAGGGUGUGUUUUAUUAAGUAUCCGGUUCUAGUUGUCAUAAGGUCAAGGUACAACUCCAAGUCGUCCUGUUACCGAAGAUCAUGGCUAUUCGAAUAGAUUAACUUCCCUGCAGGGGUGCACCAACUUACCCAACACGCUUGAUCCCAUUUGGCCGGACACACUUUCCUGGGUCAUGCCCGGCCGCGGAAGAUCAACACGUCGCAGCCCCACCUAGGCACAACAGAGAGGCCAACACGCCGGUCUAAACCUAAGCGCGCAGGGGUCUGGGCCCAUCGCCCUGAGCACACCUGCACGUUGCGUGGGCGGCCGAAAGCAGACCUAGCCUAGUGGCGUUCCAGUCCAAUUCGGCGCGCGCCGCUCCGUCGCUGACGUCUGAAGUGCUUCGGCUGAUACCACGACGCCGGGAUACCCAUAACUACUCCCACGUAGAUGGUUAGUGCGUAUAGGCUCGUAGCCAACUCAGAUCAAAUACCAAGAUCUCGUUAAGCGUGUUAAAUAUCCGCAAAUGCCGAACAGGGCCAGGCUCACCUCUCUCCUAGGCGGUCUCAACCUGCCCUGUCGCUCCGCCUCAAAGAUCCACUCGCGGGUGCUCCACCAGCCGACCCGACUUUAGUCUCCACAUGUAUCAUGUAUAAAGUAUAUAGUAUAUACCCGUGAUCACCUCCCGAGUGAUCACGGCCCGAUAGUAUAGCACAGCAGACGGACAAUAAUGUAGGGCCACAGAUGGAAAUAGUAGCAUCCUAUACUAAGCAAGUAGGAUUGCAGGUAAAGGUAACAACAGUAGUAACAAGGACAGGCUAUGCAUCAGGAUAGGUAUAACAGAAAGCAGUAACAUGCUACACUACUCUAAUACAAGCAGUAUAGAGUAGAAUAGGCGAUAUCUGGUGAUCAAGGGGGGGGCUUGCCUGGUUGCUCUGGCAAGAGAGAGGGGUCGUCAACUCCGUAGUCGAACUGGGCCGCAGCAGCGUCGGUCUCGUAGUCUAUCGGAGAGAAGAGGGGGAAGAAACAAUGAAUACCAUGUAAACAUAAGCCUAUCGAUGCAUGACAUGACAAGUAACAAUGCUAGGCGUGCCCUAGCGUGGUAUGAGGUGGUACCAGUUAAGGGGGGGAACAUCCGGGAAAAUAUCCCCGAUGUUUCGUGUUUUUGGACAGAGGAGCCGGAGGGGGAAGGUUGCGGGUUCAAUAGGUUAGGGGUGUGUGGCGGACGAACGGACUGCGUAUCCGGAUUCGUCUCGUCGUUCUGAGCAACUUUCAUGUUGAUAAUAUUUUAAUCCGAGUUACGGAUUAAAAGAUAUGAUUUUCUAAAGAUUUUAUUAAUUUCUGAAAUCUAAUUAAUUAUUUAAUUUAAUUUGAAAAUGGACUUAUGACAUCAGCAUGAUGUCAUGCUGACGUCAGCAGUCAACAGAGUUGACUUGGUCAACCUGACAUGUGGGUCCAGUGGGACCCACCUGUCAUUCUCUGUUUAGUUUAAUUAUAGAUUAGUUAAUUUAAUUAGUGAUUAGGUUAAUCUAAUCAGGAUUAAUUAACUUAAUUAAUUACUAAUUAAUUAAUUAAUUUAAUUAUUAUUAUCUAUUUAUUUAUUUUUAUUAUUACUAUUAUUAUUUUAAAUGUCCUGGGGGCUAGGCCCCACAUGUCAUUGGGCCAGGGGCUAACGGGCGCGCGGGCGACGGGUUUCGGUCACGGCGUCAACGGGCGAACCCGAGCGGCGCCGUCGGCGCGACGAGCGGCACCGGACGAGGACGAGCGAGGCACGGGGGUCGCUCGAUGGGGACGCCGGCAGAAGGGCAGCGGCGGGCGCGGGCGCUUGACUGGGGCGGACCCGAGCGCGCGAGGGGGGCGUGGCGGUGCGGCAGUAGCAGCCGUGGCAGGGGCGGCGUCAUGCGGGUGGAUGGGGAGCUCCGGGCGAGGAGGACCCACGGGCAACCAGCAUCGAGGAGCAGGGGGCGUGGCCACAAGCGGCGCGCGUGCGCGGCCGACGCGGUCAGGGCACGCGGUAGGGGGGAGCAGAGGGCGCGGCGAUGCGGGGAAGAGAGGAGGAGGGGAAGAGGCUCACAUCGAGCCUGUCGUUGUGCAGUCGUGUGCUCGGGGAGGGCCUGAGGUAGAGGGCGCUGUCGAUGGAGUCCGGCGAGGUCCUCGGGCGGCUGCGCGGGCUCCGGGCGGCGGUGAAUCGAGGACGAGGCGGCGGCGUACGGCGGGUCGGGCGCGGCGUCGGAGCUCGCAGAUCGGGAGAAGGGGGAGGCGAGGAGGAGGCGUUCGGCGAGGUCCGGUGACGGGGCCGGGACGGCACCAGGUGGCGGCGUACGGCGUCGGGGCCUCCUCUGGUUCCAGCCCCCGUUUUAGAUCGGGGGAGGGAGAGGGGGGAGAGAGUGGGGAUCGUGCCGGGGGGAAUGGGUGGACCGGCUAGGGUUCCGGUCGGGGUGGGGGUUAAGGGGAGGCCGGCUGGGCCGGCCUGGCGGUCUGGUGGCCUGCUGGGCCGUGGCCCAAUGGGCCAGGGGGGUUUGUGUUUCUUUUUCCCUUUUUUAUUUAUUUACUUUUCUGUUUUAUUUUAGUUACCUUUUAUUUGAGUUUCUGUAAAAUAUAUACAUAGCAUCUAAUUUAGUAUUUCAGUUUAGUCCACCGUCACAAAAUGUCUAGUCCCCAAUUAAUUUUAGUUCGAUAAUUUAUUAGUUAGUAAAGGCACUUAAUUAUUUGUUUUUAUUACUGUUUUAUUUAUUUCAGUGCAAUUAAAUACUUUAUAAAAAUGUGGAUUCCCCACCACAAUUAUUUAUGCAAUAUUUGGCACAUAUAGAACAUUUUAGCUUUAAUGUUUGAAAACUUUUCCGUUUGACUUGAUUUUGAAUUUUUGAAUUCGAACGAGAUUGAACCAUCAUGAGAUUUACAACAGUAAGAGUGGUGACGUGGCAUCAUUAGCAGAGGUUACUGUAGCUUGAUUAUCCGGGCGUCACAAUUCUCCUCCACUACAAGAAAUCUCGUCCCGAAAUUUAAGAGGGGAGUAGGGGGAAGUUCUGGUUACGAAAUUCUAACGUGUCUUCUCGGUCUUGGUUGCCCUUCUUGAAGAGGUUGAUCCAUAGCGUCGAUGUCUUCAUUUCUCUACAUCCAUGCAUCAUGAGGAAGCUGUCGUCCUUCCUUUGGGAACUCCAUCGUACUUACAGAGGAGUAAAGGAUGGGUAUACCGGAAGAAUGGAAUUCUGCAUGGUUGCUUAUCCGGUAGAAAAUCAUUAGGGAACGUGGUGAAAAGUAACUCUCGAAUUGAAAUUUACGAAAAUAUAGAGAGCAAGGUAAGGAGGUAACAUGGGAAGUUUCGAGCGGGCAUGCAAUCGCUUGAUGCCUGAAACAGGGCGUGAAAUGGGGUUCAAAGCAAUGGGA
Molecule: long non-coding RNA, 8285 nt
Filed under: Triticum aestivum (bread wheat)
Lineage: Eukaryota; Viridiplantae; Streptophyta; Magnoliopsida; Poales; Poaceae
Description: long non-coding RNA (TAES_LNC006065)
Source: RNAcentral